This is a small nucleolar RNA of Lathyrus oleraceus (garden pea), 128 nucleotides long. RefSeq annotates it as small nucleolar RNA snoR74. The record is from RefSeq and is a predicted model, not a curated record. NCBI's taxonomy places the organism in Eukaryota, Viridiplantae, Streptophyta, Magnoliopsida, Fabales, Fabaceae. The transcript has a single exon.
AUGAAAGCAGUGGUCUGGUUCCUAUAUGAGCAGUCUUCUCGUAACUAUCAGGGAUAUAAAUCCAUUGUUUUUGGGUGAACCUAUGUUCUUUUUUUGUGACCUAAGGUUCAGUAAAUAAUGUAACAUUU